Molecule: non-coding RNA, 73 nt
Organism: Zootermopsis nevadensis
Lineage: Eukaryota; Metazoa; Arthropoda; Insecta; Blattodea; Termopsidae
Source: Rfam
GCCACGGUGGUCUAGCGGUUAGAACGCUGGCCUUGUAAUCCUGGGGUCUCGAGUUCGAUUCCCGGCGGUGCCC